This 325-nucleotide ribosomal RNA is filed under the name uncultured Acidobacteriota bacterium. Its description in RNAcentral is "bacterial SSU rRNA". It matches the Rfam family "Bacterial small subunit ribosomal RNA", at positions 32 to 351 of the family's 1533-position model. The record is from RNAcentral. Lineage: Bacteria; Pseudomonadati; Acidobacteriota.
AAUCAACGCUGGCGGCGUGCCUAACACAUGCAAGUCGAGCGAGAAAGUGUAGCAAUACAUGAGUACAGCGGCGCACGGGUGAGUAACACGUGGGUAAUCUGCCCUAGAGUGGGGAAUAACACCGGGAAACCGGUGCUAAUACCGCAUACGAUCACGAUGUCUGCGGACGUUGUGAUGAAAGGAGCAAUUCGCUCUUGGAGGAGCCCGCGGCUGAUUAGCUAGUUGGUAAGGUAAUGGCUUACCAAGGCUACGAUCAGUAUCCGGUCUGAGAGGACGGUCGGACACACUGGAACUGAGACACGGUCCAGACUCCUACGGGUGGCAG